RNAcentral lists this ribosomal RNA (252 nucleotides) under uncultured bacterium. Its description in RNAcentral is "partial 16S ribosomal RNA". It matches the Rfam family "Bacterial small subunit ribosomal RNA", at positions 524 to 776 of the family's 1533-position model. The record is from RNAcentral.
UACGUAGGUCCCGAGCGUUGUCCGGAUUUAUUGGGCGUAAAGCGAGCGCAGGUGGUUUAUUAAGUCUGGUGUAAAAGGCAGUGGCUCAGCCAUUGUAUGCAUUGGAAACUGGUAGACUUGAGUGCAGGAGAGGAGAGUGGAAUUCCAUGUGUAGCGGUGAAAUGCGUAGAUAUAUGGAGGAACACCGGUGGCGAAAGCGGCUCUCUGGCCUGUAACUGACACUGAGGUUCGAAAGCGUGGGGAGCAAACAGG